AUUGAACGCUGGCGGCAUGCUUUACACAUGCAAGUCGAACGGCAGCGCGGGCUUCGGCCUGGCGGCGAGUGGCGAACGGGUGAGUAAUGCAUCGGAACGUGCCCAGUAGUGGGGGAUAGCCCGGCGAAAGCCGGAUUAAUACCGCAUACGACCUGAGGGUGAAAGCGGGGGACCGAAAGGCCUCGCGCUAUUGGAGCGGCCGAUGUCGGAUUAGCUAGUUGGUGGGGUAAAGGCUUACCAAGGCGACGAUCCGUAGCUGGUCUGAGAGGACGACCAGCCACACUGGGACUGAGACACGGCCCAGACUCCUACGGGAGGCAGCAGGGGGAAAUUUUGGACAAUGGGGGGAACCCUGAGCCAGCCAUGCCGCGUGAGGGAAGAAGGCCUUCGGGUUGUAAACCGUUUUUGUUCGGGAAGAAAUCCUCUGGGCUAAUACCCCGGGGGGAUGACGGUACCGGAAGAAUAAGCACCGGCUAACUACG
RNAcentral lists this ribosomal RNA (482 nucleotides) under uncultured bacterium. Its description in RNAcentral is "partial 16S ribosomal RNA". It matches the Rfam family "Bacterial small subunit ribosomal RNA", at positions 29 to 505 of the family's 1533-position model. The record is from RNAcentral.